UGGUUGAUGUGGAGCCUGAAAACGCAGUAGCAAUCGAUCCAACGGAAGGAACUCU
Molecule: small RNA, 55 nt
Filed under: Arabidopsis thaliana (thale cress)
Lineage: Eukaryota; Viridiplantae; Streptophyta; Magnoliopsida; Brassicales; Brassicaceae
Description: ATSL057020
Source: RNAcentral